CAAAAAAAAAUAAACAAAAUUUAAAAAUUAAAAAACAAACAUUAAAGGGAGUCUUCAGAAACAAUUACAAUUCCAGCACUACUGGUCUUGGUGGCCCUCCCACAGGGAAAGGCAUUUGGGAUGGGCAGGAUGAGGCUAUUGGCAUCUGUGGUGUUGGCUUUGUUUGCUGUCACUCAAGCAGAGGAAGGAGCCAAAAAUCUGGCCUCCAAAUCACUGUUGAACAGAUAUGCUGUGGAGGGGCGAGACCUGACCUUACAGUACAACAUCUACAAUGUUGGCUCAAGCCCUGCAUUAGAUAUGGAAUUAGCUGAUGAUUCCUUCCCUGCAGAAGACUUUGGCAUUGUCUCUGGAAUGCUCAAUGUCAAAUGGGACUGGAUUGCCCCUGCUAGCAACGUCUCCCACACCGUGGUCCCGUGCCAUCUCAAGGCUGGUUAUUUCAACUUCACCUCAGCAACAAUUACUUACUUGGCCCAGGAGGAUGGGCUGUUGUGAUUGGCUCUACCAGUGCGCCUGGACAGGGAGGAAUCCUGGCUCAGCGGGAGGUUGAUAGACCAUUCUCCCCACAUUUUCUGGACUGGGCAGCCUUCGGGGUCAUGACCCUUCCCUCCAUUGGCAUCUCUCUGCUAUUGUGGUGCUCCAGCAAGAGGAAAUGCGGCACUCCCAAAGCGAAGAAGAACUGAGUAGGGUUUUCGUGGCCCUCCUCCCCAA
Microcebus murinus (gray mouse lemur) is the source of this 708-nucleotide non-coding RNA. The record is from RefSeq and is a predicted model, not a curated record. Lineage: Eukaryota; Metazoa; Chordata; Mammalia; Primates; Cheirogaleidae.